AGUAUGGAUGGUGCUAGUAAUAUGAGAGGUGUUAAUAAGGGAGUACAGGCUUUAAUAUUUAAAGAAGCUCCUAAAGCUAUUUAUGUCUGGUGCCAUGCUCAUAGGCUUAAUUUAAUUGUUAUUCGUAUAUGUGGAUAUGGGAAUGAAAUUAAAAAAACUAUGGGAAUUUUAGAUGAAUUAUAUAAUUUUAUGAAUGGAGUUAAACGCCAGGGUGUUUUUACCAAAUUUCAAAUGCAAAAAACCAAAAAAUCUCUCAAAAGAAUAAAAAACACAACAAGAAAUUGGGCAUCAUCUUUCAAAGCAUUACAAAAUUUUUUAGAUGUUUAUGAAUAUAUAAUAGCCUCCUUGACAGAGUUAAGCAAUUCCGAUGACGCAAUCACAUUUUCAAUUUCUGAGGGAUUGCUAUCUAGAAUAAAACGAUAUGAUUUUAUUUUAGGAUUAUUUAUUUUAAGAAUAAUCUUAAAAUGUACACAUGAAACUUGCAUUGAAAUGCAGGCAAUUGGAAAUGAUUUAGCAAUGAUGAUUAAAUUGAUCCAACAUACAAAAAAUAAAUUCCAAAGAUUAAGGGCAAAUGGUGAUAAUAUAUUAACAUCAUUACAUACCGAUGUUAAAUCAUUUAUGGAUAAGAAUAAUGUUACAAC
Molecule: long non-coding RNA, 641 nt
Organism: Gordionus sp. m RMFG-2023
Lineage: Eukaryota; Metazoa; Nematomorpha; Gordioida; Chordodea; Parachordodidae
Exons: 3
Source: RefSeq, a predicted model, not a curated record